Ochotona curzoniae (black-lipped pika) is the source of this 183-nucleotide long non-coding RNA. RefSeq lists it as uncharacterized. Lineage: Eukaryota; Metazoa; Chordata; Mammalia; Lagomorpha; Ochotonidae. The transcript is spliced from 2 exons. The record is from RefSeq and is a predicted model, not a curated record.
AUACUCCAGUGGGUGCUGGGACCAACAUCUAGUCAUUGAUGUCAUCAUCCGUGUCAGAUGCCAUGGAAACUUUCAAAUGGCUUUUACAUUCAGAAAUGCUGUUCUGGUUGCUCAACCUGUAAAAUAAAGAGGUGCCAGAGUCCAACUCCAGCUGAGUUCGGAGCUCAAGAAGGGUGCGUGGAG